This 223-nucleotide long non-coding RNA is filed under the name Gossypium barbadense (sea-island cotton). RNAcentral's name for it is "long non-coding RNA (GBAR_LNC012872)". The record is from RNAcentral. Lineage: Eukaryota; Viridiplantae; Streptophyta; Magnoliopsida; Malvales; Malvaceae.
AGAAGGUUUCCAUUACAUCUUAAGAACAAUGUACAAAAUCUCCCAAAAUUGAGAAACAAAAGACAACAAACCAUCACAGUGGCAAAACCCACAAAGAUUCAUCAAGAAAUUGGGAGAAGAAUCACCACACAAGGUUCAACAUUUUAUUCGAUUUCGACGAAUAGGUGCAUAUGAUCUUGUCUACGUCAAGAGUUCCUCACUAACUAGUAUAAUCUAAUCCCGG